This 253-nucleotide ribosomal RNA is filed under the name uncultured bacterium. RNAcentral's name for it is "partial 16S ribosomal RNA". It matches the Rfam family "Bacterial small subunit ribosomal RNA", at positions 524 to 776 of the family's 1533-position model. The record is from RNAcentral.
UACGAACUGUGCAAACGUUAUUCGGAAUCACUGGGCUUACAGGGUGCGUAGGCGGCCUGUUAAGUAGGGUGUGAAAGCCCCCGGCUCAACCGGGGAAUGGCGCCCUAAACUGGCGGGCUGGAGUGAGAUAGGGGUGUGCGGAACUUCCGGUGGAGCGGUGAAAUGUGUUGAUAUCGGAAGGAACGCCGGUGGCGAAAGCGGCACACUGGAUCUCAACUGACGCUGAGGUGCGAAAGCGUGGGGAGCAAACAGG